Molecule: long non-coding RNA, 1090 nt
Organism: Cornus florida
Lineage: Eukaryota; Viridiplantae; Streptophyta; Magnoliopsida; Cornales; Cornaceae
Exons: 3
Source: RefSeq, a predicted model, not a curated record
UCUGUGCUUCUCAUGAUAAUAAUGUUUUCAUUUAGCUGGUGAAAGGUUGCAUCAGUCUUUCUGUUGUUUGAGUUGGGUCACGUGGUUGAACUGACUCUCAAAUCUCAAAUUUUACCUGCGAUGUUCCAGAAGGUGGAAGUGUUUGUUGGCAAUUCUGACUAUGUUCUACGAUUUUGGUAGCUAUGGGCCUUUUUUCUAAUUCAAUUUUUGGCUUUGCAAGUACCUUAAGUUUCUUUUAUGCAUUAAAUUAGCUGAUAGCACAGUGACAGUAUUCCUGAAUUGUUCCAAAUUUAUCAAUUUUUUUUUGUUGAACAAACAAAACUGAAUCUAUCCUGUAUAGAGUUCAGCAGAGCCGGAAAUAUUUUCGAUUAUCAUUAUCUGUUGUGAAUUAAUUGUGAAUUUUUAUAAAAUCUGAAAAAUAUUAUGAAUUUUUUGGUGCUUAUUUUUUUCUUAUGUGGAUAUUUUUAUUAAUUUUUUUCUAGGAUAUUUGGAUUAUUUUCCGCAUAACUUGUGAAACCCUGUUACUAAAGUGCUUCAUGAUUCCAAAAUCUAUAAAGUAGCGAUGGAAAUUGCAAGGAAAAGGGCCCCUAGUAGCUGUAUAGAUUAUUUGAGCUCACGGGAUGUAACAUUGUGCAAAUAUUGUGGAAUUUUGGUCUAUGUAUGGUCCUCAUGGCACCCUAAAGCAACAAGAAACAUGACUAGAUUCUUGGAAUACACAAGGAUAGUCUACAAUCAAAAUGGCAUUUUGCAAUAGAUUCGGAGGCCUCUUGAGGCAGACCAUUUCACAAAACAGUGCAGUAAUUGGACAAGUUCCUAUGGCAUCUAUGAUUAACAGUAUUCGUUGCAUGUCAUCUUCAAAGCUUUUUGUCGGAGGUCUUUCAUGGGGAACUGAUGACCAGUCUCUUAAAGAUGCAUUUUCGAAUUGGAUUUAUUACAUACAUCAUUAUUCUUAUUAUAUUCAAGUUUCUUCAUAGCAGAACUUUAUGCACUUAAAAUUUUCAAUUGCUAUAGAAUCGUAUUACCUUGUACAGGAACAACUAAUUUAUUGAUCUGUUCUUAUGUAGCUUAUAAUUUUUCGAUCAUGACAUGU